This is a long non-coding RNA of Callithrix jacchus (white-tufted-ear marmoset), 695 nucleotides long. RefSeq lists it as uncharacterized. The record is from RefSeq and is a predicted model, not a curated record. NCBI's taxonomy places the organism in Eukaryota, Metazoa, Chordata, Mammalia, Primates, Cebidae.
UGAUGGAACAUUAUCAAUCCUUACAUAUAUCUCAUAUACGGGAGGAGGGGGAGGCCUGUCUGCCGCUGCCGCUGCCCCACUCCUCCUCAAAGGGAGAUCGGUCUGGCAUGGGCACUCCGCGGCACUGGAGCGGCUUCGCAGAUGGCAUGGCUUCAACGCUGAACUCCUUCUGAGUUUGAGCCUCAACAAGGAACUCAGUGAUGUGCCAAUUAAAACGUUGAAGUAUCUUUGCCUGCCUGGUUUGCAAGAUGAAAAGGACUGAUAAUAUUUACUGUUGGUGAAAGCUACAGGCAUUCUCUUGCUAACUCUCAACCCUCAAUAACUCGGAUCUCAUGCCACUCUUCCCCACAAUCCCUCAGAGACUUGAGCAUCCUUGGAUUUGGGUAUGGAGAGGAUGUCCUGAAACCGAUCUCUCACAGAGACACGGAGGGAUGACUGUAUAUACAAUUUCACCACUUCUGCAACCAUGAUCUAUCAAAGGCAUGGAAGAGGAAGACAGACAACCUGCCCUGGAGCCACAGACCCAAAAGGAAAAGGAAACAAUUGUUUUUUGACCUUCUACUCAGGAGCAGACAUUUAAUUUUGUAAGCAUUAUCUCCUUUAACAUUUAUUACCACCCCAAAGUGACAGAGGCAGCCAUUAUUCUCACUUGACAGGUAAGGAAACUGAAACUCAAAGUUCACAAUAUCAUCUAC